ACCGGUAGCUCAGCGGUCAGAGCAGGGGACUCAUAAUCCCUUGGUCGGGGGUUCAAAUCCCUCUCGGUCC
This 70-nucleotide transfer RNA is filed under the name human gut metagenome. It matches the Rfam family "tRNA". From Rfam's summary of the family: Transfer RNA (tRNA) molecules are approximately 80 nucleotides in length. The record is from RNAcentral.